AACGCACCUUGCACCCUUUGGCAUUCCGAAGGGUAUGCUCGUUUGAGUGUCAUUGUACUCUCACACUCUCACUCUUUGGAUUGGGAGCGGUGGACUUGGGUGUUGCUGCUUUACCGCGGCUCACCUCAAAUGGAGUAGUGCACCUCUCGGUUGGACAUAGUACGGCGUGAUAAGUGUCUUCGCCGGCGCCUCAUUAGAGGGUGGCCGAUCGGGAGCUCUGUGCUUCAAACCGUCUUCGGACAACAACUGACAACUGGACCUCAAAUCGAGUAGGACUACCCGCUGAACUUAA
RNAcentral lists this unclassified non-coding RNA (292 nucleotides) under uncultured Sebacinaceae. RNAcentral describes it as "sequence contains ITS2". Lineage: Eukaryota; Fungi; Basidiomycota; Agaricomycetes; Sebacinales; Sebacinaceae. The record is from RNAcentral.